CCCGGGCCUUGUACACACCGCCCGUCACAUCACGAAAGCCGGUUGUACUAGAAGUCGCCACACUAACCCGCAAGGGGGGGAGGCGCCUAAGGUAUGGUCGGUGAUUGGGGUG
RNAcentral lists this ribosomal RNA (112 nucleotides) under uncultured bacterium. Its description in RNAcentral is "partial 16S ribosomal RNA". It matches the Rfam family "Bacterial small subunit ribosomal RNA", at positions 1373 to 1482 of the family's 1533-position model. The record is from RNAcentral.